ACGGCUACAUCACGUUAAAGCACCGAUUCCCGUACGAUAAGCGAAGUUAAGCAACGUCUAGCCUAGUCAGUACCUAGAUGUGUGACUGCUUGGGAAUAUCAGAUGCUGUAA
Molecule: non-coding RNA, 111 nt
Organism: Acanthosepion pharaonis
Lineage: Eukaryota; Metazoa; Mollusca; Cephalopoda; Sepiida; Sepiidae
Source: the annotation of a GenBank genome assembly